RNAcentral lists this ribosomal RNA (305 nucleotides) under uncultured bacterium. RNAcentral describes it as "bacterial SSU rRNA". It matches the Rfam family "Bacterial small subunit ribosomal RNA", at positions 338 to 641 of the family's 1533-position model. The record is from RNAcentral.
CCUACGGGACGCAGCAGUGAGGAAUAUUGGUCAAUGGACGCAAGUCUGAACCAGCCAUGCCGCGUGCAGGAUGACGGCUCUAUGAGUUGUAAACUGCUUUUGUACGAGGGUAAACCCCGAUACGUGUAUCGGGUUGAAAGUAUCGUACGAAUAAGGAUCGGCUAACUCCGUGCCAGCAGCCGCGGUAAUACGGAGGAUCCGAGCGUUAUCCGGAUUUAUUGGGUUUAAAGGGUGCGCAGGCGGCCUGUUAAGUCAGCGGUAAAAGCCCGGGGCUCAACCUCGGCGAGCCGUUGAAACUGGCGGGC